RNAcentral lists this transfer RNA (599 nucleotides) under uncultured bacterium. RNAcentral describes it as "16S-23S ribosomal RNA intergenic spacer". The stretch from base 150 to 223 matches the Rfam family "tRNA". The record is from RNAcentral.
CUGGAAAAUAGCACUCAAUUUCUUGCGCCCACACUUAUCGGCUGUAGUUGACAACAGUGUGUGAGCGUGAGCCAGCUGAGCAGACCAGCUGUGUGCUUCGGCACCUGGUUGACGCGACGUAGACACCCACGCUUCGCCAAGAACGUGAAGGGUCUGUAGCUCAGUCGGUUAGAGCACCGUCUUGAUAAGGCGGGGGUCGUUGGUUCGAAUCCAACCAGACCCACCAUCUUCACGGGGGAUUAGCUCAGCUGGGAGAGCACCUGCUUUGCAAGCAGGGGGUCGUCGGUUCGAUCCCGUCAUCCUCCACCACACCAAACGAUCCGGUCGCUGUCGCAAGUGGCUGCCCAAGGGCAGGCCGCUUGCGACAGCGUCUCGAAAGAGUCGGCUGUUGUUCUUUAACAAUUCGUAGAGUCGAAUCAGCGUCGUCGACGGAAACCGCUCAUGGCGGACCGUGCCGUCGAUGACAUUUUGAUUGCGUCACCAAGAAUCAACUCGCAAGAGUUUGAAGAACGGCAUAACGCGUAAUACUCAAACAGUCCUUGACGAUGCCUCUACAGCGAGGCGUCAAAGUUAUAGGGUCAAGUGACUAAGUGCAUGUG